This 465-nucleotide ribosomal RNA is filed under the name Vreelandella stevensii. RNAcentral's name for it is "partial 16S ribosomal RNA". It matches the Rfam family "Bacterial small subunit ribosomal RNA", at positions 338 to 795 of the family's 1533-position model. Lineage: Bacteria; Pseudomonadati; Pseudomonadota; Gammaproteobacteria; Oceanospirillales; Halomonadaceae. The record is from RNAcentral.
CCUACGGGCGGCAGCAGUGGGGAAUAUUGGACAAUGGGCGAAAGCCUGAUCCAGCCAUGCCGCGUGUGUGAAGAAGGCCUUCGGGUUGUAAAGCACUUUCAGUGGGGAAGAAAGCCUUGGGGCUAAUACCCUCGAGGAAGGACAUCACCCACAGAGGAAGCACCGGCUAACUCCGUGCCAGCAGCCGCGGUAAUACGGAGGGUGCGAGCGUUAAUCGGAAUUACUGGGCGUAAAGCGCGCGUAGGCGGUCUGAUAAGCCGGUUGUGAAAGCCCCGGGCUCAACCUGGGAACGGCAUCCGGAACUGUCAGGCUAGAGUGCAGGAGAGGAAGGUAGAAUUCCCGGUGUAGCGGUGAAAUGCGUAGAGAUCGGGAGGAAUACCAGUGGCGAAGGCGGCCUUCUGGACUGACACUGACGCUGAGGUGCGAAAGCGUGGGUAGCAAACAGGAUUAGAUACCCCAGUAGUC